GGCUAGAAGCCUUAAGAUUUAGCUUUAUUGUGGGAGCUAAAUUAAUGUCUGAUUGUACUGCCCAUGAUACUGCGUUGGUUAUCCCUUUGAUUGCACAUGGUAUUUUAGCGAAUAGUGAGAGGUCUACGAUAAACAAGUACGAAAUUCUUAUAAGAUUGAAGUAGGGCUUUUGUAAAGGUCUGCUUCAUUAUUCUUAUUAAGCCAAAUAAGUAAGUCGGAAAUCAUAAGUCUUAGAUGACUUGUAACGGCAGGUAUAGUUUGAUAAGACUUAUGGUCUUAUCUUAAACGAAUAUACGCGUAUGGUUACUAUAAUCUCAACGGAGCUCUUACGAAGUUAGGCGAAGAAGGGGGUUUCUAGGUGCUUUAAAUAUGUUUGUAUAGUUUCUUUAAGUGUUUUUUAGUUUCUCGAUAAUGGGCGCGGUAGGAGAACUCUACACCAGUGCGGAGCAUUGACAAAAUAUGGAGAUAUAGAGUAAGUAAUCGGGAAUGAGGGUGGAAUAAAAAAAGUGCCAGCAUUCGCGGUCAGUCUGUUUCACCCCAGCCAAUGACUGUCGUAUGUUAGUAAUGAGUAAGAAAAAAACAGUUAUCUACGAAAUAGGCACGGUAAAAUGUAACUAUAGUAUAAAAUGAUAUAUGGAGUAGUGAAAAUAAGAUAGUUUUAACAAUAUAACCUAAUAAGGCUGCAUAGCUGAGACAGGGAUCUGUACCCCAGUAUUAAAGCUUUCCAGUGGUGUGCGGGUACUACGAGCAAACGUGCUUAAAAACCAAAGAGGUUGGCGGUGUUCCAAAUCCGGUUAGGGGAACUUGGCGAUUAAUUUGAUGAUCCUCGAACAUUUUACCUUUAGUAUACUUUGCAUACCGCCGUUGAGACAGGCUUUUGGGGGUUGAAGAACUUAACAUAAUAUAUACAGGCGUGAACACGACUCUAAAAAUGUUUAAGCCCCAUCGCUUAUAACAUUUCGUUUCAGGUUAGUCUUCUAUAGCAAUUCAGGUAAACGUGUAGGUUCUAAAGGGUUUAGCUGAGUUACAUUUUUUGUAAAUCUGCGGAGAUGCAUGCUUAUAUGUGCGUUGAAGGUGUACUUGUUAGUAAAACUUUUGAUAGAAGAAAUUUGAAUAGAGUUAUGGAAUGCGUACAAAUCGCCCGGCGCCCUCGAAUAAUUAAAUUGAGGUAAGUCGUAACAUAGUAAUGCUAGUAGAAACUGGUGUUAAAUAUAAAA
Molecule: ribosomal RNA, 1217 nt
Filed under: Paphia amabilis (short-necked clam)
Lineage: Eukaryota; Metazoa; Mollusca; Bivalvia; Venerida; Veneridae
Description: small ribosomal RNA
Source: RNAcentral